Molecule: non-coding RNA, 122 nt
Filed under: Pyramimonas parkeae
Lineage: Eukaryota; Viridiplantae; Chlorophyta; Pyramimonadophyceae; Pyramimonadales; Pyramimonadaceae
Source: RNAcentral
GAGAGAAGGACGCAAUCAUGAUAUGUGAAAGCAUGGGAGCUUUUGUUUCUAAAUUCUUUUUUUGCUGUUGUAAUUGUUUUUCUUUUGUAUAUUCAUUUCUCAGAGUGUGUCUGUUUAUUUUU